Molecule: ribosomal RNA, 475 nt
Filed under: uncultured organism
Description: partial 16S ribosomal RNA
Rfam family: Bacterial small subunit ribosomal RNA
Source: RNAcentral
CACUCCUGCGGGAGGCAGCAGUGGGGAAUUUUGGACAAUGGGCGAAAGCCUGAUCCAGCAAUGCCGCGUGAGUGAAGAAGGCCUUCGGGUUGUAAAGCUCUUUUGUCAGGGAAGAAACGGUGAAAGCUAAUAUCUUUUGCUAAUGACGGUACCUGAAGAAUAAGCACCGGCUAACUACGUGCCAGCAGCCGCGGUAAUACGUAGGGUGCAAGCGUUAAUCGGAAUUACUGGGCGUAAAGCGUGCGCAGGCGGUUUUGUAAGUCUGAUGUGAAAUCCCCGGGCUCAACCUGGGAAUUGCAUUGGAGACUGCAAGGCUAGAAUCUGGCAGAGGGGGGUAGAAUUCCACGUGUAGCAGUGAAAUGCGUAGAUAUGUGGAGGAACACCGAUGGCGAAGGCAGCCCCCUGGGUCAAGAUUGACGCUCAUGCACGAAAGCGUGGGGAGCAAACAGGAUUAGAUACCCCUGUAGUCCCAUGA